Molecule: long non-coding RNA, 464 nt
Organism: Hevea brasiliensis (rubber tree)
Lineage: Eukaryota; Viridiplantae; Streptophyta; Magnoliopsida; Malpighiales; Euphorbiaceae
Exons: 2
Source: RefSeq, a predicted model, not a curated record
ACACAUUGGCUGCAGUGCACAUACACUAACACCUCCUUCGUCUCUUGUCCUGUAUCAUGUUCUCCCAGAACCGACUAAAUGAAAUAAGGCCUUCAUCUCGAAGUCUUGCCGCUCGCCUCGCCUGUGACGUUGGUUUGCUAUGCAGUGAUGGACCAAAAUCUGGCCGCUUUCUCCCAUACUCUAUGAGUGCGAUCUGGGUUUGAAUAUAGAAAGAAGAAGACGAUGGGAAGACAGGGAGAGGACAGAAACAAAGUAAGAACAGAGCAACAAACUAGGAAAGAGGAGGAAGAAACACUAAGCGGAAGUAUACGGCAUCGUUUUGAUCAAAGGGCACUGGCAAUCACGCUAAAAGAAGACGGGCAAAACGCAGAGAUUCAAGAGAGAAGGCUCGCACAAAGUACACGGCAAAGGGCAAUUCUGUAAAUCAAAUUGCACGAAUCAAUUGCAAACAAACUGUUCAUUAA